UGUGACGGCAUCCUCAGAUCAACAGGACUGAUGAAGGAACAUGAGCAGCUUCUUCUCUCAGUGUUUUGUAGACAUCUGAAGGUGGAAAGUGUCUCUAAGUGGAGCUGAAGUGAGUUCAGCAGGAUGCAGCAGCAGAGAUCAGAUUCUCCUGAACCCAGCUGUGUGUCCAUGAAGUCUGAUCACUCUAAGGGUCUUCUUAUUGUCUUUAAAGAUGGAGAACAUGCUGCUGGAAGGAUGUAGCAGCAGAGAUCAGAUUCUCCUGAACCCAGCUGUGUGUCCAUGAAGUCUGAUCACUCAAAGGGUUUUCUUGUUGAGUUUACAGAUGGACAACCUGCUGCUGGAAGGAAUGGAGCCCAAACUGAUCUCAACCCAACUGACAACUGUCGGGGAACCCUGAACAUCUUUACCAGUCCACCACUGACCACUAUGAAACAGCUCAACUCUAGUGGGCGAAGACAGAACCAUCCACACCCUAGAACCUUCUACAUGAAAGACUGAGAGUUGAUCAGAGUGAAAGCAGGAAAUACUGAUUCCUGUAAUCUCACAGUCGACAUGAACACAGUCAACAG
Amphiprion ocellaris (clown anemonefish) is the source of this 569-nucleotide long non-coding RNA. Lineage: Eukaryota; Metazoa; Chordata; Actinopteri; Pomacentridae. The record is from Ensembl.